RNAcentral lists this unclassified non-coding RNA (382 nucleotides) under Demospongiae sp. GW30139. RNAcentral's name for it is "sequence contains 28S rRNA gene". Lineage: Eukaryota; Metazoa; Porifera; Demospongiae. The record is from RNAcentral.
GCGAAUGAGGCUGCGCGUGGCGCYGGYGUCGUCAGGCGUCCCGGCGGACACUCGGUGGCAGUUGUCAGACCCCUCCGGGGGGRAGCACUGCUGCGAGACUGUCCCGCUGGGACCGGCUGCAUUGAUGCCGGGGCUGGGUCAGCACCGGUUUCUAGCUGCGGGAGAAAUGUUUGGCUGGGUAGCUCGUYGWGGUGGUUCCUGCCUCGCCGAUGGCCCGCCGAAACUGCUGCCCGCCUGGAACCGAGGCGAGUUGGCAUCCCUUGCCCUUGCGGUGUGUGCCUGAAGGCUGGACGGCGUUGCGGCACUGCCGGGCCUCCCCUGGACUGCUUGCAGUGCCGGGGAUGUGCCUUGCCGGUGGUGCUGAAACGUGCGGUCACAAUGU